GCCCACACUAGAUAGCCUGUGAGAUUCCCGCACAUGCCCAGUGAAACACCUGGACAUGCGAACGGGAAUUUCAUCUAUUCAUUCAUUCAUCAGACAGACGAAUGAAUGAAUAGAAAUAUCAGCCGAACAAACACUGUGUAUCAGUGUUCGCUUGUUCAUGCAGGUUAUUACAAGGAGGGAGCUACCGGCAUGCAGCUCCCUUCUUGUAAUAUGUAAAGAUAGAAGUGGCAGGGAGCAGUGCUCCCC
Molecule: non-coding RNA, 246 nt
Organism: Pelobates cultripes (western spadefoot toad)
Lineage: Eukaryota; Metazoa; Chordata; Amphibia; Anura; Pelobatidae
Source: the annotation of a GenBank genome assembly